This 12104-nucleotide long non-coding RNA is filed under the name Marmota monax (woodchuck). Lineage: Eukaryota; Metazoa; Chordata; Mammalia; Rodentia; Sciuridae. The record is from RNAcentral.
GGCAGAGAGAAGAGGGGGGAAGAGCUCAGGGUUGAACAUUUUUGGAGCUAGGGGUGGGGAGGAGAAAGAGAGCGCGCCUCCUUGAUUUUCCCCUCCCCACCCCUCUUUGCUUUUCUCUCCCGUUCGCUGUAUAGCAUUUUCCAGAAGCAGCAGCAGAAUGGGACUGAAGCCUCUGGUCUAGAAAACGGAUUUGGAGGGGUGGCAGGGGCUCCCACCAGCCGCUACCUUACAGCUAGUGCUUGAGUGUGCGUGUCAGCGUGUGAAUGCGGUCCUCUCGCUCCCUCUCUUUCUCUCUCCCCGGCGCCCGCUUCACACCACCGUGUCAGCUCUCCCUGUCAGUUUCCCCGUGUCAGUUUAUUCUCUUGCUUAUUGUGUUUGGCUGGCUGCGUGAAGGGACUGCGAGCAUUUGGGGGGCUCACGCUGGGUCCGAGAGCCCCAGGAGAAGCGAGCGAGAACACGGCAGGGGCACGGGUGGAGCAAAGAGUUUCGGGGCGCUGGUGAAGGCAAAAGGUGAGAAGGUCUGGCCAGUUGGGAACUUUGAGAUAACUGAAGAGGGGAAAAGGAAACGAAGGUAGGAAGCAGUACUUGUGCUCCUCUCUGCGUCCCGCCCCUUUUUUUCCCUAUUCUCACCCGCCCACCCACUCGGCAGCCUCCAGGCCCCCGGCUGUCCCAGGCGGCUGCUGUUUUUGCGCCACGGAAGACCAGUCCAGGAAGGCUGCCGCGGCACCUCGCGCCCUAGUCCACCGAUCCCAGACUACACAGAUCCGAGGAAACCACUUGGCCCGGGGUAAGUUGACAGGCGGCUUGGAGUCGUCCGCUUUGCUACCCUUGGGGCGGUGAGGAGCGGGUUUAAUGAAGGUGCUGGGUUGAUGUAAACUGGGAGGCGCUGGCUGGCUGACUGGCUGUGAGCUCCAGGUGGUGGGGAGCAAGGAGAGGCCAGCAACAGAUUGUUUUGGGACACGGGCAAAAGAAAUACAACCAGGGAGAGGGCGUUAAGGGUUCUAGGACCAAAUGUUGAUGGCAAUGAUUAAAAGCAUCCUUCUCACUGCUACUGUUCUCCUAAACCAGAGCUUUGCCAUACCACUGCAUGGAUAGUGAUUUGUUCCAUCCUUGGGUAGAUAUUAAGCUCCCCCGAACCUGCUCCCAGGUUUCCUCAAAAUGGGCAAGGGAUGGGUUAGGAAAAAGGAUACUUGUUCUUCAACAAUAUCAAUCUUCAGCUGUAAAGAGCCAGGGUUCAUGAGGGCUCAGGGACCAGAGCCCCUCAUUUAGCUUCUUUCUGUUUUUGCAUCUUUCAAACUUAAGAAAGGGCCAGAUUCGUUUGCCUGGCUUCCUUAAAGAAACCAGGAAAUGCAAAUGGGCAGGGGCAAUCACUGUAGUCCAAAGUGGACAGCUCCCAAACCUCCCCCACAUGCUUUGACUUGGACAAAUAGCUAUGAUCAUGUCCCACAUAGGCAAGUCCUGAGCUGAAUUCCCAGAUCCUGAUCUUUCUUCAUGGUUUCUGAAAAUGAGCCUGGGAGAAGGUGUUUUUUUGUUUGUUUUUUUUUUCCCCGUUACCAACCUGGCCUAUUUGGGCCAUAGUUAUGCGUGGUGAUAGCCAAGUGUUUAGCAAGGUUAUCACUCCCUUAUGAAAAGCCUGGCGCUGGGAAACCAGCCCAGAAGACAGAUUCUCUGAACUUUACCCGAGUUUAUUAUAUAAGUGGGAGAGACACAUACUAAUCAAUAAUUCUCCCCUUAGAGACUGUGCAUGUUAGCCAUGGCUUCAAAUGAGGAAUAAUUGCUACAUUCAUAAUGGCAUCCAGACACAUUGGCCUAUUGUCAUAUAUUUAUUUUCAUGGCAUUUACUAAGAAUGACAUGUUUAUAUAUCAGCAUUCAUAAUUUUCUAUUGUUGAUCUCUUAGAUUUUUUGAUGAUGUACAGAUGAACUAUGUCGUGUCUCAUUUCUCAUAAACUCUUAAAAAGCUGAGAUUUAAAUGAUGUCGAAUAGUGCCUUUCAUUCAGUCUUUGAAAUAUGUUUAUUCUGAAUUGAAAGGCAUGGUAAUACAAUCAUAUAGUACCAAGUUGAUUUUAAAGCAAAUGUUUAGUCUGAGAUAAAGGAAACGCAGGAUCCAUUUGUGAGGUUGAAAGAAGAACCAAAUGCCACUUGAAAUCUAUAUUUUGGUUCCAGGGAGGUGCUAUUUUCAUAAACUUUUAGACUAUGUAACUAUAUGCACAGUUGAUCUGUGUGUGUGUGUGUGAGUGUGUGUGUGUGUGUGUGUGUGUGUAGUUUUUCAAGGACUCCAAUCAAUCCUGUACAAUUCAGGUUCUGUGUUUCUAUAGCUGAGGGGGGGGGGGUCAAAUUUGUGCUUCCAAAGCAUCCUGGAUUUUCUGUUGAACUUUCCAUUUAUUACUAUGUUAUUGAAAUACAAUGAAUUACCUCCUUCCAACUAAGCAAAUGAGAGAAACAGACUCUGCAUUAAGUGAGACUGUUUACGUUGCAUUGGGCAAUUUGUUCUAAUGCUCACUGCGGAGAGACAGAGCGGAAUGGGGAUUACUAACAUAGGAUCUGAAAAGGUGUCCAUUCUGUUACUCUUUGGGGGUCAAUCAUGAGCAUAUAUCUACUUAGGUUAAAAUUACACUUUCCCAUAGAUAGCAAAGACAAGAUUGCAGACAGCUAGGAAAGAAGCAACAGCUUCAUGAUUGGGGAAGAACUCAAAGUAUCAACAGGAAUGAAGCUUAAGGUGUAGUGGUUUUUUGCUGUGUUCCAGCUGAUGUGUGUAGUUGCUGAAAUGGGCUGUGACCUAUGGUUAUUCCUAAGACAAGGAGGGGGGCAGGUGCAGGAAUUUGGAAUCAAUGUAGCCCCCAGAUUCACUAAUACAGACUCACCUGAUUUCAGUGUAUGCUUCAACAUAGUGGCCUGGAUCAGAUGAUAUCUAUCAUCCCUUCCAACCAUGAGAGCUAUGAUCCUAUGAUUCUAGUCAUUGUAAAGCUAACAACUAAAACAAGAAUGACAUGCAGAACCACAGUGUUUAGAGAAGGCCAGACCAGGAAAUUGGAGAUGCAGAAGGGAGAAAGAGAAGAGAAAUAGGAAAACCAAAGAUGUUUUGAAACACAUGGAAGGAAAACUAUCCAGAUGUUUGCUUUGACUGGGAAUGGAAUCAGUUCAGAAAAUCAACUGAAAUGCGAAGUACCUUAAAAUUGUCUGUGGUUUGACUUGUAAACACUGAGUAAACAGUAAUAGAAUUCCUUAGAACCAGGGAAUUGGGAACCUUGGAGUGCAUUUUCAGUGUUGUCAUCUCAUUUCACUUUUUAGCUUAUUAAAUUCCAAUCUAUAAACCAUUCAGGUGCUUAAUUAUCAAAUGAAUAUUUCAAAUGUGCCACGCUAUUUCCCUCCAGCCUGCUGCCAAAUAUUCUAAUUUGUCUUUUGCCAUGAUUCCAUAACCGAAGGAGAGGAACCAAAGAAGCAUUUCUGUCUGCUCUUCCUCCACCAAAUGUUCGUGUUUUCAGAUGAGGUACACUAAGCCAUUCAGACAGAUGCAGUCUGCUAGCUAGUAGGGGAAAAGGGAGGACAAGGCCUCUCUCCUCAAGAUGCCCCAGGCCCUAAGAUGCCACCAACUAAUCUGGCCCAGUCAUUUUCUAGGUUUCCAGGGAAGAAUAUGACAAAGUUUUCAGUCUGCAGACAGAAUUGACGCUCCACUCUAGGCUGUAGUUGCAGCUAAUUAACUGCAGAUCCAGGCUAAACUGACGUUAGCCAUCAUUUCCAGAGCUUAGUAACUGAUAUAUCCAUAUUGUCAAGCUUUCUAAAACUCAUGAAGCUUUCCUCCUGUGGAUGGGCCCCUCAGACUCUGUCCAGUGAGACCACAAGACCCAUCCUGCCAACAAGGAAUGAGUCCUGAAUGAUUCAACCAUUGUCUCAUAAACAAACAUGUACAUCAUCCUCAACUGAGUGAGAACAGAUGAUUUUUUUUAAAUUAAAAGCUGGUGAGGUUAAGCAAUAAUUGCAGUCACUGGGUCAGGAAAAUUCUGCAAGUUCCCUAGGUUUAGUUCUCCUUUACCCAUUGAAGAGAUGGCUCUUGGAUGCCAGUGCAAUUACCACGGCUUUUUGCCUUAGGAGAGGCAAAGAAAAAAAUGAUGAUGAGAAAAAAGCAGGGAUCUUGGCAGGGUCCAAUCCCCUUUCACCUGUAGAGAACCUAAGACUCAGAGAGUAGAAAUAGCUGGCCUAAAUCUAGCUUGACAAAGGCAAAACCAGAAUCCAAGACUGUCUAUUGCUAUAGAAUAAAUUUUCUACAGCUCUCUGGAGAUCUUGCCAAUAAAUUUAGAAGAAUCAAAAGCAAAGUUUACCAAGAUCACAACCUUCUAAUUCCAUUUAAUGUGUAUAUUGAAUGUUUAUAUUACAUGUUAUUCCCAUACUUUGUUUUUCACUUUCUCACCCACCACCUUUCUUCAAUACACACACACACACACACACACACACACACACACACCCCUAUCCUGCUAGCCAAGAAAGCAUGACAUAUGCUGACAUAUGCCUACAACUAGCAUGUUCAGGUGGAGGUCAGAAUUAAACAUGACAAAAUUUUAGUGGCUCACAUUUAUGUAGCUAAUCUGGUUUAUACUACCAAUAACAAGACUCCUAGAAAUCCCAGUCUCCAAUGCUCCUUUGUAGUUUUGGGGAAUGGAAGCUGGUGGAAUACAAUGACUUUGGUUCUUGCUUUCUUUACUCAUUCUGAGAAUCAGCACCUUUAAUUGCAUGUGUGUGUGUGUGCACAUGCCUGUGUGUAUGUGUGUUUGUGUGCAUAUGUGCACAAACAUACACAUUUCUUGAAAGAUUAAAACAAAGGAAAUAGAAAAGAAAGACAGAUGAGUUUUAUGUCAGAAAUGAGAAGAUGAAAAGUUUCCAGAAUGGUCAUUAUCAUCUGCCUCUGUCCUUUACUCUUGCUUAGUUUCCACUAAUCCUACCACAAUUUCUUUUAGGGCCUGGGGAAAUAGGCCAAUGCAAAUAUGUCUACUAUAGUCCAAGGAGCUCUGGUGGCACAAUAGAUUAAUGUGCAGUGCUUAUGGAACAAAUGUAUCUUCCAGGAUAAUAUGAAGAACUUCCACACUAUAGGAAGGACAUCACUGAAUUAGAAGAGACUCUUCUAAGAGCUAUCUGUAAAUGCAGAAUUUCGGGCCCUUCUCCAGACCUACUGAAUCAGAAUCUGCUUUUAAUGAAGAUCUCCAAUGAUUCAUGUUCAUAGCAAAAUCUGAAAAGCAAUGGACUAGAGAUUAUUCAAAAAAAGCAUUUGAAAUUCAUUUGAAAAUAAACAAUGACCUACAAGGGAUGUAGGGACAAUUCAUGUGGUUUAUCAUAUAAAAAAUAAAAAUACAAACUUUUCCUAUGUCUGAUUUUCUUAUUAGCCAGUUUAAAGGCCUAAAGUGUAGGUAAGAGAGACAAAUUGAAGAGGAAUCAGAACAAAGGAUUGUUCUGUUUGCCAGAAAGACCAGGGUUUGGGAACUCACACAGACCUGAGUUCAAACUCUGGCUGGGCUGACAAAUUACUAGCUGUGUAAACAUGCACAAAGUACUUUGGUACUUUGCGUUUGAGCCUCAGAUUCCCCAUGAGUAAAAUAAGAUUAAUAAUAGUAUUCAUUAGCAUUGAGUUGCUAUGAAACAUAUAUGAGACACUAUAAGGCACUAGCAUAUAAUGAGCAAUCAAUAAAUAGAAAAUAUAAUUAUAAUUCAUGGUUUGGUCAAUAACUUUAGUUUUAUAGAAAACUAGCCACUGGAUGAGAUAUUUAAGGACACCUAGCAUCUAUUUCUAAUUGUUAUGAAUCACACUGGGUUUUUCACAGAGAGAGGAAAGAUGUACAAUAGUAAAAUAUAUUUGAACAUAGUGGAGACCCUCAAACAAAUAUCAUUUAGAAAGAAUUAUAAGUGCCUCUGAUAAAAUCCCUUCAUGGAACUAAACUGAAGUCAGAAGUGGCCCUAUUCUAUGAGGUAUGUAUCAAAAUUACCAAAUAAAUGCUGAGGAAACACACACACAUAUACAUAUAUCCACAUGCAAAUGAAACAAUUCAAGACUAAAAUAGUAUUCUAGGUUAGGAACUAAAUAUUACUGAUUUUCUGGCCUGACAACAAUCUGUAAAAUGGGUGAAUAGUAACUCCUACUUCAUAGGAUAGAUGUGAAAUGAUUUGGGUAAAAUAAAUCAUGUAGGUAACGGCACAGCAAUUAAACUCAAUAAAUAUUUUUCAAUAUGGCCCAAUGAUCCCUAAGUUAGAUCCACAGAAAGGGCAAAUACGUGUGUGUGUGUGUGUGUGUGUGUGUGUGUGUGUGAGAGUGUGUUUGUAGUUAAGCUCCAGUGAUUUUGUUUUUCUCCAGGAAGUAAUGAGUUCCUAUUAGAUAAGAAAUACUUUACCAUGUUAACACAUCAUAUAAAGGCCAGCUCAACAACAAUUCUUAAUACCUAGACUAUUUGGUUAUAUGCCAAACAUUUUGCAUGCAUUAUAGUAUUUAAGCUCUCACAACAACCCCAUGAAGUAAGUAUAUUAUUGCUCCUGCUCUACAGAUGAAAUGGCAGGUAAAGCUCAAAAGAAUGAAGGUGAAAAAAUUUAGCAACUCCUACCUUGUUCCAAACCAUAGUGCUUUCUACCUACUCAAUUUUCUAGUCUAAAAUAUGAUGGAGGUACAGUUUUUAUAAAUUCCAAUAACUCUAUAUGUUUAAUAUAUUGUAUAAAUUCUAAUAAAAUCACUCGGCACUUGCUUCUAUAAAAACUUAUUGAUUGGCAUAUGAAAUCUUGGCAACCUGACUGCAAAGACACAGAGACAGACAUCCAACCUCUGGGUCCCAGUCCUUUGGCAUGUUUGAGAACUCCAGCUUCUAUUGGAACUGAGGUUGCCUAACAUGCAUUGAUUUUCAAGAGGAUUAAGUUAGUGUGGCAUCAAUAUUCGUAGACAAUAUAGAUUGGUAAUUUCUAAUAUUUCUGUGAUCUUCCUAAAUAAACAAUAGCAAAUGCUGUUAAUUAUUGAACACCUUUGCAUUAGUUUUCUAUUGCUGUCAUAUUAAAUUGUCACAUACUUAUUAACCUAGUAUUGUCUAAGUAUAAAUUUAAAACAAUUAAAUAUGAGUUUAUUAUUGUUAUAGUUCUCUUGGUCAAAAGUGAGACAUAGUGAUCACUUGGCUAAAAUCAAGGUGUCAGCAGGAUUGCCUUCCCUUUUGGAAGUUCUAGGGAAGAAUCCAUUUCCUUCCUUAUUCAGGUUGUAGCAUAAUUCACUUCCUUGAAGUUGUAGGAUUGAAGUCCCCUUUGCUCUGCUGGAGUCAGCUGAAAGCUGUUAUUAGCUUUCAAAAAUCACCUACAUUCCUUAGUUCAUGGUUCCAUUCUUCCAACUUUGAAGACAGUGAGUACCAGUUGAAUGGUUCACACACUUUGCAUCUCUCUGACACUUCUGCCUUUGCAACUCUAUUAGUAUUCCUUUUCUUCUGUUUUUAAAAUUUUUAUUGAAACAUGGUAUUUGUACAUAUUUAUGAGAUAAAAAAUGUGAUGUUUUUAGUCAUGUAUACAUUGGAUAUUAAUCAACUCAGAGUGAUUAAUGUAACCAUCACCUUAAACGUUUGUCAUUUUCUUAUGGAGAGUAUAUUCAAAAUCCUCUCUUCUAUUUUGAAAUAUAUAAUGCAUUAUUGUUAACUAUAUACACCUGGUGUGUGUGUGUGUGUUUGUGUGUGUGCACAUGUGUAGGUGUGCACUUACAUUGGGCCCACCCAGAAAACCCAGGAUAAUAUCCCUAUUUAAAAUCAGCUAAUUAUCAACCUUAAUUCUAUCUGAAAAAUCUCUGUUGCCACAUAAUACAACAUAUUUACAAGUUAUGGGGAUUUUGACAUAUUUAAGAAACCAUAUCUACCUACUAUAAUCUAUGUAGUGGGUGCUACAAACCAUGACCUUUUUUUCCGCCAGUGCUGGGGAUCAUCGAACUUGGGGCCUCACUCUGCUAGGCAAGCACUCUACCUCUGAACUUGAUUCCCAGCACCAAAUACAUGAUCUUAAAUUAUCUCCAUUAUAGUCUAGAUGGUGUACAUUACUCGCAUUUAACAUUUGAAAUAGCAUCAGACAAAUUAAGCAGUAUGCCUAAUAAUGCACAGCUAGUAAAUCGCACAGGCAGAAUUGGAACAUAGUGCUUUCUUCCUCAAAAUCUUUUAUUUUCCCCCUUGGCCUACAUUAUACUGCCUUCUCAUUAUCAGAAAGCUCUUUGGUUGUAAUUUUUGUUUUGGCAAUACCAUGGCUUCACUUUCCAUGGUUUCAGUUACCCACAGUGAACCUGAGUAUGAAAAUAUUAAAUGGAAAAUUCCAGCAAUUCAUAAAUUUUAAAUUGUGCACCAUUCUGAGUAGCAUGAAGAAAUCAUGUGCAGUUUUCUCUGUCCUACCCAGGAUGUGAAUCAUCCCUUUGUCUAGCAUAGCUACAACAUAUGCACUCUCCACCUGUUCGUCACUUAGCAAUUGCGGUCAUCAGAUCAACUGUUCUGGCAUCACAGUGCUUGUGUUCAAGUCACCCUUAUAGCGUAACACUGCUUCAAAGUGCCUAUAUCAUUCACUUCACUUCAUCUCAUCAUAUAAGCAUUAUUCCAUCUCAUAUCACCACAAGAAGAAGGGUGAAACAGUACAAUAAAAUAUUUUCAGAAAGACCUAUUCACAUAACUUGUAUUACAAUAUAUUUUUAAUUGUUCUAUUUCCUUAUUAGAAAUUGUUGUUAAUCUCUUACUGUGCCUAAUUUACAAAAAAAAAAAAAUUAUCAUAGGUAUGUAUGUAUGUAUGGGUGAAAAAAUAGUAUAUAUAGGGUUUGGUACUAUCUAUGGUUUAAGGCAUCCAAUAGAUGUCUUGGAAUGUAUCCCCCCAUGGACAAGGGGAGACUGCUCCAUUUUAUUUUUUGUUUUCCUGAUUUAAGAUUUUAACAGGAAAUUUAUGUACACAGUUCAAAAGUCAAUUGGAUAAAAGGGUAUUUAAUUUUUAAAACUUGGUCUCAUGGUUUCCAUAUAUGUGGUUGCUACCACCCUUGUCCUAUUUGAUUUCUUUCUCUCUAGAACUUCUAAAUGAAAAUAUAAGCCACUAAGAAUAGGUAUAUAGAAAGAUAUUCAUAUCAUAACAAAUCUUCCCACACUACAGCUGAAAUCCAUGUUGUCCUUUUAUUACACUUUUACUACAGUGCAACUUUGGAAGAACUAACAUCUGCAUUAAGGGACAAUAUAUAUGGGCCAAUCAGUAACCCAAACAAUUGGUGACUUCACUUUUUAAAAUGUUUGUAGUCCCUUUGGCUCCAUGAUAUUCUCCUGAAUAUCCUCUACAUUAUAUAACCCCAAGGCCUUAGUAUUGUUAUGUAUCUCAUCAAUUUUAUCUGAACAUUCCAGAGCCAUGAAAUUCUAGAAUACAAGAGGGGGUGAAGGAGAGAGAGUGAGGAGGGGAAGAGAGAGAAGAGAGAAGAGAGAAGAAAGAUAAUAGAAAAAAUAAAAAUAAGUAGGGGGAAAGGAAGAGACAGAGACCCACAGUGCAUGGGGGUGAGAGUCUGAAAAUCAAUGAAAUACAGCUUUUGUUAUUAUUCCAUAUAGUGAUAAGAUGAUCAUAUUUUGAUAUAAAUAAGCCCAAUACCUUAUUUAUACAUAACUUUUUAAAACAAUGACAAAGCCUUCUAUCUAUCUUGUAAAAGAACAUGGAACCCUUACAUAAUUAUAAACACUGAAACAGAACUACCAUAUAGUUGGAUAGCAUCUUAUAUAGCAAUAGGCAUCCAAAUCAAAGAUGACAAGUUGGUUUAAACAAAGAAUUGAGUAAAGCUGAUAGUAAAACCAGUAUAGCAGAGUUAAUUAUUUUUUAUGCCUACUAUAGAUGUUAGUCUUUAGCUAUAAUUUAAGAACCUCUUUUUUUCAGUGUUUCAUAGAAUGCAAUAUACAUUUAUCUUCUAGUAAUACAAAACAUAACAUGAUUUAUCUUCUUUUGUGUUUCUAUCCCUUUAAGCAUUGUUCUUAAACUUAUUGAACUUAUUGGAAAUGAUUUGUUAAUGUACUGGGAAAUCAGUUUAGUAGUUCAUAAUAUAUAUUAUGAUUAUAUAUAUAUAUAUAUAUAUAUAUAUAUAUAUAUAUUUGGUACUAGGGAUUGAACUCAGAGGCACAACCACUAAGGUGCAUCCCCAACUCAUUUUUUAAAUUUAUUUAUUUUUAUUUUGAGACAGGAUCUUGCUAAGUUGCUUAGGGUGUGGCUAAGUUGCUGAGGCUGGCUUUGAACUUACAGUCUUUCUGCCAUGGUCUGACAUAACCAGUAUUUUUAAAUAAAACAGAUUAAAAGAGAAAAUGUGAGUCCCAUUUCUUGAUAUUUUUAUUUCAGUGAUGUUUGUGUCUAAGUGUGUGUGUGUACACAUACAUGUGCAUGUUUUCAUGUAUACUUGGCCCAAUGUAAAAUAUUUUUCUUGCUUGCUUUAUUGUGAAAAAGUUUGAUUACUAUUAGUUUCAAAGGUUAGAACCACUGGCCAGAUGCUAUAUAUAUUCCAAAAUCCUUAUAAAUACAAGGAUCUCUGCCCACACUUAACAUCUUGACUUUCCUGAAUGUAUUUUUUAUAAUUAUAAGGGAAUUCCAUGCUGCCCCUUGGCAUUGUAGUCUGUAUUUCUGAUGUAGUAGAAAUGCCUGGAAAGUUGCAAAUAUCCAAAGUAAAACUAAAAACUCUAAUAGAAUUUGAAAUGCUUUCUCUCUCAGAUGCAUAAACACUCAGGAGAUUUGUAGCAUCUCAGGAUUUGGACCUGAGUUUCCCAGUUGUCACUUCCAUUGACAUCUCACGUAUACAGUGCUCUGGGGACCCCAGCCAGUGCUGAACAUGGCCUGAGAGUCUACAACUUGCAUAAAAUAUUUAACCUCAAGAACCAGAUCUUUAUGCUUUAACAACAGUAGUCAUCUCCAGAAACUUUUCCUAGAUUAGUGGCAUUUAGUCUAAUGAUAAAAACCAAGCAAUGAAUAAAGAUUGACAAGAAGAUAAAAAUGUAGGUUUAGGGAUAAACCUAGGAAAAGGAUGAUGAAACAGUAAUGACUAGGUAAAAAUUACUUCAGGAUAUUGUUGUUGCAAAGAGAAGGUUUUUUCAUUUGUUGUUGGACAAUUAUACCAGGGAAGAUAAAAAUGAUAAGUCUAGUAGAGAGAGAAAAACAGAGGAGAAUGUUAAGGAAUAAUUAAACCAUUCAAUCCUCCAACUGGUAAUUGAGUCCCUGUUAUCAAUCACUUGACAAAUACUCACUUAGUGCAGACUAGGUGGAAGGUGCUGUGGGGCACUGCAUGACCCUCUAGGAACUUAAAUAUUGUCAGAAGUGAGUGAGAUGACAGGAGCAAAGAUGAAGAGAAAUCCUGGUGUGGCUGAGUAAGGUACUGUGAUUGAAGCCAUUCAUGGAAAUCUACAGAGGAAUAUUUCUAGGAUAGAUUAUGGAAAGCUUUAUAUCACAGACUGUGGCUGCAUUUAAUUUAGUGAACAAAAAGGAGAUACAAAAGGAUUUUGAAAUGAGAAAUGAAAUAAUGAUAGCAAUGUUUGGAGAUGAAUAUUCAGAAAAUGGUGUGUAGGAAGGAUCGAUAAAGGCAUACUGAUUAAGAAACAAUUAUAGAAGUCUAGGCAUGAGAAGUAGCACUAUAGUUAAGUAGAGAAUCUGGGUUCAUAACAUCAUCAAAAUGGCGAUAUUACCAAAAGUUCUCUAUAGGUUUAAUGCAAUGCCAAUCAAAAUCCCAACGGCAUUUCUUAUAGAAAUAGAUAAAGCAAUCAUGAAAUUCAUAUGGAAAAAUAAAAGACCCAGAAUAGCAAAAGCAAUUCUAAGCAGGAAGUGUGAAUCAGGCGGUAUAGCGAUACCAGAUUUCAAACUAUAUUACAGAGCAAUAGUAACAAAAACAGCAUGGUACUGAUACCAAAACAGGCGGGUGGACCAAUGGUACAGAAUAGAAGACACAGAGACUAAUCCACAAAGUUACAACUAUCUUAUAUUUGCUAAAGGGGCUAAAAGCAUGCAAUGGAGGAAGGACAGCAUCUUCAACAAAUGGUGUUGGGAAAACUGGAAAUCCAUAUGCAACAAAAUGAAACUGAAUCCCCUCCUCUCGACAUGCACAAAAGUUAACUCAAAAUGGAUCAAGGAGCUUGAUAUC